AUGAAAUCGUUACGUAAGGAUGAGUAGCUUAGCUUAAUUUUUCUGUAGAGAGUCAGUGGUUGGUGAAAACUGAUGUUAAAUGAGUAAGUGAAUGGCCCUUAUAGUGUUGCUUUGAACCCUAAUUUGAAAGUAGGAGCAAACGUCUUCUCACGUUACUGAGAUAGAGUAUUUAACGUACUCGAAAUGAGAUAAAAAGACUUGUUUAUUCGUCUUUUUAAUAGAGGUGGUACCGCGAAUUUUCGCCCUCUAA
Carnobacterium maltaromaticum LMA28 is the source of this 250-nucleotide regulatory RNA element. It matches the Rfam family "T-box leader". Rfam says of the family: Uncharged tRNA acts as the effector for transcription antitermination of genes in the T-box leader family. T-boxes are found upstream of many aminoacyl-tRNA synthetase genes and some amino acid biosynthetic genes usually in Gram-positive bacteria. The record is from Rfam. Lineage: Bacteria; Bacillati; Bacillota; Bacilli; Lactobacillales; Carnobacteriaceae.